This 549-nucleotide ribosomal RNA is filed under the name Otidea brunneoparva. RNAcentral's name for it is "eukaryotic LSU rRNA". It matches the Rfam family "Eukaryotic large subunit ribosomal RNA", at positions 77 to 634 of the family's 3401-position model. The record is from RNAcentral. Lineage: Eukaryota; Fungi; Ascomycota; Pezizomycetes; Pezizales; Pyronemataceae.
GCCUUAGUAACUGCGAGUGAAGCGGCAAAAGCUCAAAUUUGAAAUCUGGCCUCGUAAUGACUGCCUGAGUUGUAAUUUGGAGGGAUAUUUUGGUUGUCGACGUCAUCCUAAGUUCUUUGGAACUGGACAUCAUAGAGGGUGAGAAUCCCGUAAUGGAUGGGCGUUACAUUCCGAUAGAAUAUCUCCGACGAGUCGAGUUGUUUGGGAAUGCAGCUCAAAAUGGGUGGUAAAUUUCAUCUAAAGCUAAAUAUUGGCGAGAGACCGAUAGCGCACAAGUAGAGUGAUCGAAAGAUGAAAAGCACUUUGAAAAGAGAGUUAAAUAGUACGUGAAAUUGUUGAAAGGGAAGCGCUUGAGACUAGAUUCAGCCGACGGUGUUCAGCCAUUGCAUUAGCAUGGUGUACGUGCCGUUGGUUGAGCCAGCAUCGGUUCUGAUGGCGGGAUAAAGGUUUGAGGAAUGUGGCUCCACAAUUAUGGGGAGUGUUAUAGCCUCGAGCGCAAUGCCGCCUAUCGGGAUCGAGGACCGCGCUUAUGCUAGGAUGCUGGCUAAA